AACGCAUACGGCACCCGAGGCUUCUGCCGAGGGUAUGUCUGCCUCAGAGUCGGCGUAAACAAAACUACCCUGUGGUCCCAAGCGACCACGGGUGGGAACUGGCGGUUCCCGGGGCCCCGGGGGUCUUCCUACGGGAAGAACUCUGGGAACCCGGGUCCGCCGAAGGAAAGAUACGGAACGGCCCCGGACGCGAUCGAGGUCCGGGCAGCGCGAUUUGGUGGUUCAUCGUCGCGUUGCCUCGCACCGAUUCUCGAGAGAGAGGUCGCAGAGGGGAUCCGGCUUCCGCCGCUCAAAGCACCCUGGGAGAAGGCAAGGGAACCAGGCCUUCUUGACCUGCCCGAGCCCAUCCCCGCACCUUUUUCGACCUGAGUUCAGGCAAGAUCACCCGCUGAACUUAA
This 398-nucleotide unclassified non-coding RNA is filed under the name uncultured fungus. Its description in RNAcentral is "partial contains 5.8S ribosomal RNA, internal transcribed spacer 2, and large subunit ribosomal RNA". The record is from RNAcentral. Lineage: Eukaryota; Fungi.